Molecule: ribosomal RNA, 292 nt
Filed under: uncultured bacterium
Lineage: Bacteria
Description: partial 16S ribosomal RNA
Rfam family: Bacterial small subunit ribosomal RNA
Source: RNAcentral
GUGCCAGCAGCCGCGGUAAUACGUAGGGGGCAAGCGUUGUCCGGAUUUAUUGGGCGUAAAGAGCGUGUAGGCGGCCGUGUAGGUCCGUUGUGAAAACUCGAGGCUCAACCUCGAGACGUCGAUGGAAACCACACGGCUAGAGUCCGGAAGAGGAGAGUGGAAUUCCUGGUGUAGCGGUGAAAUGCGCAGAUAUCAGGAAGAACACCUAUGGCGAAGGCAGCUCUCUGGGACGGUACUGACGCUGAGACGCGAAAGCGUGGGGAGCGAACAGGAUUAGAUACCCUUGUAGUCC